UAUACUUUGGUAUAAGAUGUACAAUAGAUUUUGAUUCUAUCGGACUGGUUUGAUUCCAGGAUGUGUAA
RNAcentral lists this transfer RNA (68 nucleotides) under Gibbium aequinoctiale. RNAcentral's name for it is "tRNA-Gln". Lineage: Eukaryota; Metazoa; Arthropoda; Insecta; Coleoptera; Ptinidae. The record is from RNAcentral.